RNAcentral lists this ribosomal RNA (116 nucleotides) under Saimiri boliviensis boliviensis (Bolivian squirrel monkey). Lineage: Eukaryota; Metazoa; Chordata; Mammalia; Primates; Cebidae. The record is from RNAcentral.
UAUGGCUUUACCACCCUGAAUGUGCCCAAUCUUAACUGAUCUGGGAAGCUGAGCAGGGUUUACCUGGUUAGUACUUGGAUGGGAGAAACUGGGGGAGCACCAACUCCAAGCCAGGU